GGGCGAGUGGCGAAAUGGUAGACGCACUACACUCAAAAUGUAGCGGGGUUUCCCCAUGUCAGUUCGAGUCUGACCUCGCCCA
The sequence is a transfer RNA, 82 nucleotides long. It matches the Rfam family "tRNA". From Rfam's summary of the family: Transfer RNA (tRNA) molecules are approximately 80 nucleotides in length. The record is from Rfam.